This 492-nucleotide ribosomal RNA is filed under the name uncultured bacterium. Its description in RNAcentral is "partial 16S ribosomal RNA". It matches the Rfam family "Bacterial small subunit ribosomal RNA", at positions 29 to 507 of the family's 1533-position model. The record is from RNAcentral.
AGUGAACGCUGGCGGUAGGCCUAACACAUGCAAGUCGAACGGCAGCACAGUAAGAGCUUGCUCUUACGGGUGGCGAGUGGCGGACGGGUGAGGAAUACAUCUGAAUCUACUUUUUCGUGGGGGAUGACGUAGGGAAACUUACGCUAAUACCGCAUACGACCUACGGGUGAAAGCAGGGGAUCUUCGGACCUUGCGCGAUUGAAUGAGCCGAUGUCGGAUUAGCUAGUUGGCGGGGUAAAGGCCCACCAAGGCGACGAUCCGUAGCUGGUCUGAGAGGAUGAUCAGCCACACUGGAACUGAGACACGGUCCAGACUCCUACGGGAGGCAGCAGUGGGGAAUAUUGGACAAUGGGCGCAAGCCUGAUCCAGCCAUACCGCGUGGGUGAAGAAGGCCUUCGGGUUGUAAAGCCCUUUUGUUGGGAAAGAAAAGCAGCAGGUUAAUACCCCGCUGUUCUGACGGUACCCAAAGAAUAAGCACCGGCUAACUUCGUG